CAGAUCAGAAGAGAUAAAAUCAAACUCAGAAAUCAAGGAAAUACUACAAAGACACCUGUUCCUACCGCAGCAAAGGGACUAACACGAAGUAGACAUUAGAGGGAACAUCUUCUCCAGAAGUUGUCCACUUGUGGGAUUACACUAGGUAUGUUGCUGUUAUCUACUGCAAAAGUAGCUUUCUAAAAGAGAAUUAAUGGACGCUUACAUCUUCUGCCAGAGGUUUCCAGUACUUUGUGAUAGCAGGAGUGGCCACCCGUUCAGCAUCAGUUAAAGCACCCUGGAGGAAGACAUAAAAGAGAUGUUUAUGUCAGUAGCAUUCAACGUCAAAAUGAUAAGCUGUCUUCUUCAGAGUCAAGAUGCCUUGGAUAAGACAUGUUAGAAACUACGAAUUCAUAUUUUUAGUUUUUCGGAUAAUACAGAUUUCAAGUCAUGGAAUAAUUAUUAUUUUUAAAAGGUAAAGGUUAAAAGUCAUGGAAUAAUUAGAAUGAAA
This 490-nucleotide long non-coding RNA is filed under the name Solanum lycopersicum (tomato). RNAcentral's name for it is "long non-coding RNA (SLYC_LNC000820)". Lineage: Eukaryota; Viridiplantae; Streptophyta; Magnoliopsida; Solanales; Solanaceae. The record is from RNAcentral.